Molecule: ribosomal RNA, 497 nt
Filed under: uncultured bacterium
Lineage: Bacteria
Description: partial 16S ribosomal RNA
Rfam family: Bacterial small subunit ribosomal RNA
Source: RNAcentral
GAUGAACGCUGGCGGCGUGCCUAAUACAUGCAAGUCGAGCGAACAGAUCAGGAGCUUGCUCCUUUGACGUUAUCGGCGGACGGGUGAGUAACACGUGGUUAACCUACCUCUCAGACUGGGAUACCUUCGGGAAACCGUAGCUAAUACCGGAUAAUAUUUCGCACCUCAUUGUUCGAUAGUUAAAGUUGGUUUUUCUUUCACUUAUAGAUUGACCCGCGCCGUAUUAGCUAGUUGGUAAGGUAACGGCUUACCAAGGCGACGAUACGUAGACGACCUGAGCGGGUGAACGGACACACUGGAACUGAGACACGUCACAGACUCCGACGGGAGGAAGCAGUAGGGAAUCUUACGCAAAGGGCGAAAGCCUGACGGAGCAAAGCCGCGUGAGUGAUGAAGGACUUCGGAUCGUAAAACGCUGUUAGUAGGGAAGAACAAACGUGUAAGUACCUGUGAACGUAUUGACGGUACCUAAUCAGAAAGCCACGGCUAACUACGUG